Molecule: long non-coding RNA, 2420 nt
Organism: Scophthalmus maximus (turbot)
Lineage: Eukaryota; Metazoa; Chordata; Actinopteri; Pleuronectiformes; Scophthalmidae
Exons: 3
Source: RefSeq, a predicted model, not a curated record
UCACGUGUCCUGGAAGUGAAGAGUGGGGAUGUUGUCAAGAGUUUCCUGUGGGGAAGGUGACAUCCUUGUCUGAGGAGUUUGUCCCUGACUCCCCCACGCUGCUUCCUCUUUUGGCAUCCCCUCUGACAGGCAGAUUACAUUUGCUGCACAAAGUCGUUGUAGGUACAAGCAUAGAGUAUGUACUUUGGAUUAAUAGGGAGUGAUAUAUGUGUAAAGAGUAGUGUACCUCCUAAACCCGGAGGUGUCCUGCGGUGAGUGCAUGGUGCUCAAGGUGAAGAUUAGCAGAGAGCUUGUGGCAACAUAACAUCUCCUACAGGUGUUGUGUAGUCGAGCAUUUGACACUUACUUACUCUAAAUAGCAAUAAUCAUGAAAUAAUAUGCUAUUCAAAUUAUUAUGCGAUUAGGGUGUAUUUUAAUUUUUUUGUCUGUGCAUGUGCAUAUUUUUUGCGUGCACCUCUGGCUCUGUGUCAGACUGUCAAGCAUUUGCCUUCGAGUUUUACACAAUGUCACAUUCCUGAAGUUGUCAUAUUUAGUCCACUGAGGUACAGAGUAUAAAAAAAAACCCACUAGCAUACCAAUGAGCUUAUAAACAUCACAAAUAUCCCCCCUGAGAUAUGACACAGCCCUAAAGUCAGGGAAUAAAAUGCGUAUGUCUUGUUAUAUGAUUUGGGUCCUUUGUUUGCCUCUUUGUCUCCUUUGUUUUUCAUUCUUGCUUGCUUGCUUCCCUGUCUUUAUUUCCCACCUCCCCGUUUUCAGUGUUCCUGCAGAUUCCCCUGCUGUCGUCACUCGUCACAUUCCCCAAUCUGUUAGCCUUCAGAUACCGGGGCCAGACUUGAAAGGAAGUCUUAAGGACGAGGAGCUUAUACACUGUGCCAGAUUUUGUUAAAUAACUACGAGAUGUUGGUGCCAAUUCAUCGGUAAUUGUCCCUUCUGGCACAGUCUGUUGAAAGUCCUGGAGAAGCCUAAGCUCAAGAUCACUGCAAGUGUUAAUCUUCUUAUACUUAAGGUAUCAGGUUUUCUUUUGAUGUCGCUAAACAUGUUGACUCCUAUCUCGGCGCAGAAGGCAAUCCAGACAUAGCUAUGAGCGAGAUGGGGGUUUGUCUGUCUUCCUCUUCCAAAAAUCUCAUGGUUUAUGUGUUCCUCUGCAAGCAUUCAUUAUGAUGCUAAAAUAAAGCAACAACAAAAUGAAAGGGGGGGGGAGGAAACUGGAAGAAAGGGAUUGAUUCUGUACUAAUUGUCCUUUCCGUAGCACAAUUUGGCUCGCGCAUGUACAGUGUAAAAUGGUCUGAUUUAUUUUUAAUGAGACGCAAUGCUAUUUCUCAGACUAGUCUAGCCCAAGGUUAUUUCCAAGACCUGGUUUGUCAGGCUCCUUUCAAGAUCAGACAUUUGUCUCAAAAGUAUAAAUGAUUUAGUGUCUAAUUAAUUUUCCUCACCUCAGGGUGCACUGUAUGUGUUUUAGCUCAGGUGUGACGGAGUCAGCAGUUGAUUGUGUACCUGAGUGGAGAUGACCACACAGAUUCGCAUUUGCUGGGGAAUCCGCCCCAGGGAGUCAGGUGCACCCUCCUGGGGCCCUGGAGUCCUUGGCACGCCGGGCCCCCUCAGGUGCUCAGGCGAUGUGGCGAAUGCUUCCUCUGCUGCGACUGACUGUGGCUGGAGGUGCUUGGGUGUAACUGGUCGGUGUGCAUUCAGGGACCACACCGAGCAUUGGCCAACGAGUUCAGGAAAAGUGUAAGACAGUGACGGGCUUCCGCAUUCUGAAACAGUACCAAACACAUGAUGAAAAAUGUCUGUCUGGUAGAAGGAGAAGAGGCACGCAGUCCGUAACCUGAAGGUCGUUACACUCUAAGUCAAUCUCGGCCAAACUGAGCUGGACAGAACCCAUUACAGAGCUCAUAUGACGCUUGGUGGGUAGACUGGCAUCAGUCAAACCCACAGGCUGCCCCGGGGUCACACCAAAGCUGGCACUUAGAGUUUUAACACACAGACAGCACACAUUAUCCAGCUAAUGACGGAAUUACAGCGCUGACUCACCAUGUAGCUACAUGUAAGCGAUGGGAGGACGGCAAUAGAUUAUCGCCUGGAAGAAGAGGAACUUUCCCAGGAGAAGCAGCUGUCAGCGAGCAGGAGAGAGAGAGAGACGCAAAUAAAGAAAGAAAGAAAGAGAAAGGUGGAGAUGCACAUAAACUCCCCAGAAUGGAGGUUUAGAUGAUUGUAAUUAUGACUCUUUAAAAAACGCUCAAUACUGUCAUUAUCAUUGAGUCAUAUGCCCAUGCAAGAGAAAGGGAUGUUUAAAGGGAUGUGUCAUCGGUGUCUGAGGUUGAAAUUGUUAGGACGGGUUUACACUGGGAAGAAAUGAGAUAUACGGAGUGUCCUUUAAGACUGGCACAUUCAAUAAACACGGAUAACAUGUCCAAGAGGAA